AAGCAUGUGAUGUGGACAAUAUCAAAAAUAACCUUUAUACCUUUCCCAUGCUUAUGGUAGAGAUUCAGAGUCUUUCUGAGUGAAGUUGGCAAUUUUCCCUCUCAGCUC
Lycium barbarum (goji berry) is the source of this 108-nucleotide small nucleolar RNA. The record is from RefSeq and is a predicted model, not a curated record. NCBI's taxonomy places the organism in Eukaryota, Viridiplantae, Streptophyta, Magnoliopsida, Solanales, Solanaceae.